UACGUAGGCAGCAAGCGUUGUUCGGAGUUACUGGGCGUAAAGGGUGCGUAGGCGGUCCUAUAAGUAUGGUGUGAAAUCUCCCGGCUUAACUGGGAGGGUGCGCUAUAGACUGUGGGACUAGGGUGUGGGAGAGGAAAGUGGAAUUCCUGGUGUAGCGGUGAAAUGCGUAGAUAUCAGGAGGAACACCGGUGGUGUAAACGGCUUUCUGGACCAUAACUGACGCUGAGGCACGAAAGCGUGGGUAGCAAACAGG
This 253-nucleotide ribosomal RNA is filed under the name uncultured bacterium. RNAcentral describes it as "partial 16S ribosomal RNA". It matches the Rfam family "Bacterial small subunit ribosomal RNA", at positions 524 to 776 of the family's 1533-position model. The record is from RNAcentral.